This 448-nucleotide unclassified non-coding RNA is filed under the name Hevea brasiliensis (rubber tree). The record is from RNAcentral. Lineage: Eukaryota; Viridiplantae; Streptophyta; Magnoliopsida; Malpighiales; Euphorbiaceae.
AAUCCUUUAGUUCAUUGAUGAUGAUAGAAAACUCUACCCAAACAAAAAGAAAAAUGUAAGGUUUGGUACAAUACCAUCUAAUAUUGGGAGUACGACAAACAAAAGUAAAUAAAUAUGGUAACACUUAUUACAAUGAAUGUAGAGAAUGAGCUAUCAGUUAUAAUUAUCAGAUAAUCGAUUUGUCUGAAAGAAUAGGAAGCCAUGCAAAACAAUGAGCUAAAUAGCAAAAUAAACAAAAAGUAGCUAAUAACUCUCAAAAUCAUGUUAAAUUAAAUAUAUAUAAAUCAUAAAUGGUAAGGUUGCUGGAAUUAUUGCCUGUGCAAAACUACAUGUAUUUAUAUAUUUGGUAACACAUACAUGGCCAUAAUGCAGAAACAGAAUGAUGGCAUUGGGAAAUGUAACUCGACAAAAACCCAUAGAAAAAUAAGAACAUGGCGCUGAGCAAAAC